CUUGGAAUCACUGAAAUGAAAACUGCACUUUCCUGAAACCCUGCAGACUAAAACUGGAUGGUCUGAUAUAGCCUUUGGAGAAAUCACCACAGCAGUUUUAUGUAGAAAUAAACUUUCUGCCUAUUACUAUAUGGGCCACUUAGAAAGCUCACCGGAUGCAAACUGCGAACCGGAAAAAUCCCAGAUUGCCACUGUCUGCUCUCACUCCAUAUGAAGAUGCUUCAAGUCUAACAUCUGAAAAUCUUGACUGGCUGCCCUCUAGACCCAAAGGAACAGAAUGAAGUUGUUCUCUGAGGAUCCUUUAUCUUCCUAGAAACCAGACUGGCCAAAAGAACACAACUGCCUUCCCUGAGUUUCAUUAACUGCACUCAUAUCACAGGAAGAAAGACCGAAGUCCAUCAACACCCCUGGGUACACUUUUGUCACAAACAAUUGCCUGAUCUCCAGUCACAACACGUUUUGUCCCAGGCCAUCGUAUGUUCUCCAAGUCCAUUCAUUUUCCCCUAAAAAUCAUUCACUGUUCCACAAAUCGCCACAUUUGUUGUAUGAAGAGGGGUGUCUAAGCGUCUGUACCCCACUGGGUAAUCAUUCUGCAAUUCCCCAGUGCUAUACAAGUUAAAAUAGAAAUGUGUGUGUGCCUUUUCUCCUAUUAAUUUGCCUUUUAUUUUGUUUUGAGACUGAGUCUUGCUCUGUCGCCCAGGCUGGAGUGCAAUGGCACAAUCUCGGCUCACUGAAACCUCAGCCUCCCAGGUUCAAGCGAUUCUCCUGCCUCAGCCUCCUGAGUAGCUGGGAUUACAGGCGUGUGCCACCACGCCCAGCUAAUUUUUAUAUUUUUAGUAGAGAUGGGGUUUCACCAUGUUGUCCAGGCUGGUCUUGAACUCUUGAUCUGAUGUGAUCCACCCGCCUCGGCCUCCCAAAGUGCUGGGAUUACAGAGGUGAGCCACUGCGUCCGGCUUAAUCUUCUUUUUGUCUGUUCAUUUUCAGUGACCCUUCAGAGGGCAAAGAGAAAGUUGUCCUGUGGCCCCUCCAGAAGUUGGGUUGAGGAUAAUUUAUUUUUAUCAGAGACUUUUAUCACAUUUUAUAACAUGGUUUAGUGUAAAAACAUCUGUGCUCCUCAUGAAUUACUUGUAGAGAUAUAAGUGUUUUAUUUCCUCCUACCUAUUGCCCAGAAGAGCUAAUGUGAAUGAAGCAAUUUAUCAGAAACGUCCUUAUUUUUAUCUGAACUCUGGUCUAAUGGAUGCUUUCAUGUGAAUAAGCAUCAGAAGUCUCCAUUUUCAUGAAAAUAAAUGAAUGAAGUAGGUCAAGGUGGUAAAUCUAGACCAAUAAGUUUAGCUGUUAAGGCACUUCCAAAACAAGGCAUUUCAGCUCUAGUAAGCAGACACCAGCCCACUGCAUUGUGUUUGAGAUCUGAAGCUGAAUAUGGCUUUGAAGUGAAAAGACAAAGGCAAUGACAGACUCAAAAGAAUGAAACUACAGUAGACAGUGAGAAAUUGUGCUAAGGAAAGGGGCUCCCUUUUUAUCGCAUUGGUUAAUUCUCAAAACUGUCUUUUAUAUCCCUGUUUUUGGAAUUGGAAUUGGCAGUUAAAACUUAUAUUUAAAAACUUUAGAGAUUUCAUUACUGUAAAUCUGUAUAGUCAAGUUUGUGUUGGAGAUGUACAAAUUUAAUUAAAUAGGAAGUCUGCCAUUUUGUUAGCUACUGCAUUUCCAUAUAGCAUAAGAAGUUAUCCAAUUACUUUCUGAAAGCAAAGAUGUAAGAAAAAGUCUGUAAUCACUCCUGGCAAACCCAAUUAAAGCGGAUUAGAUUUAUAAGAAGUAUCUGCUCAUAUGUAUCACAUAGACAUAAGAAGAGGUAAUUUUAAAGAGACAGCCCUCCAAUAUGGGUGUGUUCUAUACAGUGGAGCAUCUGGGAGGGACAGAAUGGAUGGUACUACAGGAUCACAGGAUGGGUCAGUAUCUUCUUCCUACUAGUUGUUCCUUCUGAUUUCCCUUUCUAUACCUCAAAAUCCACAAAUUUGGGUACCAAUGUGAAGUAUUCAAUGUUUGAUGAAUAAACAAAUGAACAAUUAAAUGAUCAAAUAGAAAUACAAAUAUUAGCUGUGAAAAUGAUUGUUUUAUAAUAAGUUAGCCUUGUAGAUUGUGUUCUGAAGUUCAAGAUACUCUACAUGCUAAAGAAUGCUUAUUUUAUUUCUUAAACAAAAAGUUCAAUUUACAAGGUAUUUUCUGUGACUGCCAAAUCCUGUGGAUCUGUACAGUUGAAUCAACUAUUGUUAUUUUCUCAAAAUUCCUCAACAGGCACCAAAUGUGUGUUUGAACAUUUUUGAUUAACUUUGACUUUGGUUAUUGAAAAGUCACUAAGAAGUAAAAUUUAUCAUUGUUUUUAAAUUCUAUAAAAUGAUUUUGGUGGUAAAGUGUUAAGGAUGUUUUACUUUACUGGUUCUUUUAUAUUUAUGAUUGAGUUUUAAAUUUAUUUUUAAAUAAUUAUAAUUAUUUUGGAGAAAAAUAUGCUGACCAUAUUUGUAUAUUGCUCUUGAAUGUCAUUUUAUUUUAUUUUUUUUAUCACUUCAGAAUUUCAAAUAGUGCCUCUUGAAUGUUCUAGUAUUGAUUUUAAGAUCCUUUAUUUUCUCUGAAGUGCCUCUAACAAGAAAGUGACUGAAAUUGGUGAGCCAGAAGGAGAAUGCCAGUGAACUUAACUAUACUCAGUAGAGGAUUCCAGAGGAAAUUCAAAUUUUUACCAUUGAAGCCAGAGAUGAUCUUGUAAACUAAGCUGGAACUAAAUAAUAAAAUGCUCAGACA
Molecule: long non-coding RNA, 2793 nt
Filed under: Homo sapiens (human)
Lineage: Eukaryota; Metazoa; Chordata; Mammalia; Primates; Hominidae
Description: HSALNT0082132
Source: RNAcentral